This 818-nucleotide ribosomal RNA is filed under the name Conlarium aquaticum. RNAcentral describes it as "SSU rRNA". It matches the Rfam family "Eukaryotic small subunit ribosomal RNA", at positions 113 to 941 of the family's 1831-position model. Lineage: Eukaryota; Fungi; Ascomycota; Sordariomycetes; Conlariaceae. The record is from RNAcentral.
UCGUUUAUUUGAUAGUACCUUACUACUUGGAUAACCGUGGUAAUUCUAGAGCUAAUACAUGCUAAAAAUCCCGACUUCGGAAGGGAUGUAUUUAUUAGAUUAAAAACCAAUGCCCUUUGGGCUCACUGGUGAUUCAUGAUAACUUCUCGAAUCGCAUGGCCUUGCGCCGGCGAUGGUUCAUUCAAAUUUCUGCCCUAUCAACUUUCGACGGCUGGGUCUUGGCCAGCCAUGGUGACAACGGGUAACGGAGGGUUAGGGCUCGACCCCGGAGAAGGAGCCUGAGAAACGGCUACUACAUCCAAGGAAGGCAGCAGGCGCGCAAAUUACCCAAUCCCGACACGGGGAGGUAGUGACAAUACAUACUGAUACAGGGCUCUUUUGGGUCUUGUAAUUGGAAUGAGUACAAUUUAAAUCCCUUAACGAGGAACAAUUGGAGGGCAAGUCUGGUGCCAGCAGCCGCGGUAAUUCCAGCUCCAAUAGCGUAUAUUAAAGUUGUUGCGGUUAAAAAGCUCGUAGUUGAACCUUGGGCCUGGCUGGCCGGUCCGCCUCACCGCGUGCACUGGUACGGUCGGGCCUUUCCCUCUGGGGAACCGCAUGCCCUUCACUGGGUGUGUCGGGGAACCAGGACUUUUACUUUGAAAAAAUUAGAGUGUUCAAAGCAGGCUUAUGCUCGGAUACAUUAGCAUGGAAUAAUAGAAUAGGACGUGCGGUUCUAUUUUGUUGGUUUCUAGGACCGCCGUAAUGAUUAAUAGGGACAGUCGGGGGCAUCAGUAUUCAAUUGUCAGAGGUGAAAUUCUUGGAUUUAUUGAAGACUAACU